CCUACGGGAGGCAGCAGUGGGGAAUAUUGCGCAAUGGGCGAAAGCCUGACGCAGCGACGCCGCGUGAGGGAUGAAGGUUCUCGGAUCGUAAACCUCUGUCAGAAGGGAAGAUAUUAUAUCAUGCUAAUCAGUGGUGUAUUGCCGGUACCUUCAAAGGAAGCACCGGCAAACUCCGUUCCAGCAGCCGCGGCAGUCCGGAGGGUGCGAACGUGAAUCGGAAUACAUGGGCGUAAAGCGCACGUAGGCGGUAUGGCAAGUCAUGGGUGAAAUGCCAAGGCUCACCCGUGGCACUGCCUUUGAAACUGUCAAACUGGAGUAUGGGAGAGGUCGGCGGAAUUCCUGGUGUAGGAGGGAAAUCCGUAGAUAUCAGGAGGAACAUCAGUGGCGAAGGCGGCCGCCUAACACAAAACUGACGCUGAGGUGCGAAAGCGUGGGUAGCAAACAGGAUUAGAUACCCUUGUAGUC
RNAcentral lists this ribosomal RNA (465 nucleotides) under uncultured bacterium. RNAcentral's name for it is "partial 16S ribosomal RNA". It matches the Rfam family "Bacterial small subunit ribosomal RNA", at positions 338 to 795 of the family's 1533-position model. The record is from RNAcentral.